UCCUGGUUAGCUCAGUUAGUAGAGCGGUCCACUGUAAAUGGGUAGGUCCCUGGUUCAAUACCAGGACCAGGCG
This is a non-coding RNA of Ixodes scapularis (black-legged tick), 73 nucleotides long. The record is from Rfam. NCBI's taxonomy places the organism in Eukaryota, Metazoa, Arthropoda, Arachnida, Ixodida, Ixodidae.